Molecule: transfer RNA, 73 nt
Filed under: Canis lupus familiaris (dog)
Lineage: Eukaryota; Metazoa; Chordata; Mammalia; Carnivora; Canidae
Also listed under: 1 other name
Rfam family: tRNA
About the family: Transfer RNA (tRNA) molecules are approximately 80 nucleotides in length.
Source: Rfam by way of RNAcentral
GCCUAGCUGGCUCACUUGGAAGAGCGUGUGACUCUUAAUCUUGGGGUCAUGAGUUUGAGUCCCAUGUUGGGUG